UACGUAGGUGACAAGCGUUGUCCGGAUUUACUGGGCGUAAAGAGCGCGCAGGCGGUCGUUCAAGUCGAGUGUGAAAGCCCCCGGCUCAACUGGGGAGGGUCAUUCGAUACUGAUCGACUCGAAGGCAGGAGAGGGUAGUGGAAUUCCCGGUGUAGUGGUGAAAUGCGUAGAUAUCGGGAGGAACACCAGUGGCGAAGGCGACUCCCUGGCCUGUUCUUGACGCUGAGGCGCGAAAGCUAGGGGAGCAAACGGG
Molecule: ribosomal RNA, 253 nt
Filed under: uncultured bacterium
Lineage: Bacteria
Description: partial 16S ribosomal RNA
Rfam family: Bacterial small subunit ribosomal RNA
Source: RNAcentral